CUUUCAUCUUUUCACCAUUGAUAAGUUGUAUGUUAUGAGAAAGGGAGACCAAGAUAAUGAAGACUAUAUGUUAUGGGGCUUUAUAUAUGUACUUUGAUAUUUUUGGUUGCAUUCGACCAGCCAAACCCAUCACAUGUUUGGUUUGUGAUUGGGAUCUUUUUUUUUUUUUUUUUACAGAAACCUGGAUGGAGAAAAUUUUUGUCAUUUAUAGGCCCUGGUUUCCUUGUUUCAUUAGCUUAUCUUGAUCCUGGAAACUAAUGUGUUGGGGAAAUCUAACAAAGCCCUUUAUGCUGUUGCACUUUUAGCAUCAGGGCAAAGCUCUACCAUUACAGGGACUUAUGCGGGACAAUUUAUCAUGCAGGGUUUCUUGAAUCUUAAAAUGAAGAAAUGGGUGAGGAAUAUACUGACUAGGUGUAUUAUCAUACGCAUGGUCUCAUUGUGUCCAUCAUUGGUGGAUCUCUUGCAAAUAAAGAUACUGAUUGGAUAAACAUUUUUAAUUUUUGUAAAAUGAUCAUUAAAGAUGAUAUGCCAUAAGAUGAAUGCUGCUGGAAUAAAUAUGCUGAAAUGAGUUUGUGGUCAUAGAAGAAAAGGCAAUUAAAAGAUAGUCAUUCAUAAAUUAAGAGCAAGCUAGGAGGAUGAUAUUUUAGUCUUCUAGAUAGGACUUUUGAAAAACAAAAGGAGUUCCCUUAUUGAUGCGGCACAAUCUUGGACAUGAUUGAAAAAGCUACAUGUCAAUACAAGCAGAAGGUGGGUCAACCAUGGUUUCCUCUGCUCUUUUCUUUUAUUCCACUCAAAGCUAGCUUCCUUUGUUGUUGGGCUUUCUCAUAUCUUAGAACUAGCUUAAAAUGACGAGGAGAGGCAAUUAAAAAGAUAGUCACUCGUUAACCGAGAACAAGAUAAGAGACUGAUGUUUUAGUCUUUUAGAUAGGACUUUCAAAAAAUAAAGGAGUUCCCUUACUGAUGUUGCAAAAUCAUGGUUUUCUUUGCUCUUUAUUUUUUUUCCCUGAAAACUAGCUUCCUUUGUUGUUGGGACUUCUCAAAAGUGAGAACUGACAUAAUAAAGAUGAAGAGAAGUUGAGAAAGAGAGAUGAAGUAGUUAACCUCUAACUUGUUUGUAGGAAUAUAUUAAUAUUUGGAUUUGGAAUUUUUUGUAGUAACAAUAACAUUCAGCUUGGGAGAAGUUGUGUAUAGGAUUGGAAGUGUUUCUCUGCUAACUACUAAAUAUGCAGGUGAUAUGCAGGUGACAGCCUUGCUAUCUUGAAGGCUGAUCUGAAAAGCCAAAGAAAGCAAGUAAGAAAUUUAAAGAAAAAGUCACUUUGGUCCAGAAGUUUGGAAGAGGUCAUGGAGAAACUUGUUGAUAUUGUCCAUUACUUAAUCUUGGAGAUCCAUUGUGCCAUUGGUAGUAAUGGAACAUCAAGGAGGCGAUGUUGCAGUAAUACCUCAAUCAAUUGGCGGAGGAAGCAACCCCAUAGCUGCUCUCAAUGUGGAGCCCGGCACCACCCUCCCAGAAUCCUCCUCUAAUAACAACAGUGACCCCAAUCAUGUUCAGGUUCCAUUUCUUUAUAUAUAUAUAUAUAUAUAGAGAGAGAGAGAGAGAGAGAGAGAAAGAGGUUGUUUAUUUGGUUUGUAAUUGAUAUUUCUAUGGGAAUUUUUUAGAAACCUGGAUAGAGAAAUUUUUUGUCAUUUAUAGGCCCUGCUUUCCUUGUUUCAUUAGCUUAUCUUAAUCCUGGAAACUGUAAGCCAUUGUCACUCUUUCUCCUUUGAUUUUAAUGUUUUCUUAUUUGAUCAUAAUUUGAUUGACGUCAUGUCGUAGUGGAAACUGAUUUACAAGCAGGAUCUAACGAAUGAUAUGAGGUAAUAUUUAAGUUCAAGAUAAAGCCUUUAUAUUUAUAAUAUUCUUAAAUGCAACAGCAUGAAACCUUCGCAACCUUUAGCUGUUGUGGGUGGUUUUGAUCGGAUUAGUCUUUGCUCUUAUAAUCAAAUCUCUUGCUGCAAAUCUUGGAAUCAGCACUGGUAAUCGAUUAGAUACAUAUUUUAUACUAAUAAUUAACAAAAUCUCCAUUUCUGAUGUUAUAAUUUAGCUUUAUUUAACUUUUCAGGCAAACACUUAUCAGAAAAGUGUAAGGCUGAGUACCCAAGAAUGGUGAAAUAUUGCUUAUGGAUACUAGCAGAGAUUGUUGUCAUAGCUGCUGAUAUACCUGAAGUGAUUGGUACAGCCUUUGGAUUGAAUAUACUGUUUAACAUCCCAGUAUGGGUUAGAGUUUCAUUGACGGGUUUAAGCACUCUUCUCCUCCUUGGCCUGCAGAGAUAUGGGAAUGUUUCUUCAGGGAAAUGAGUUACGUAAAGCUACAAGCAUCAGGUGUGGUUAAAGGCAUGUUUGUUCCUAAACUUAAUGGCCAAGGAGCCAUCGGCGAUGCCAUUGCCCUCUUGGGUGCGCUUGUUAUGCCGCACAAUAUCUUCCUUCACUCAACUCUUGUACUCAGCAGAAAAGUACCAAACUCUGUUCGAGGUGUUAAUGUAAGCCACAGUAAACAAUAUCAUCAUUGAAAGUGUAAUGCUAUAGUUCUAGUUUGUUAAUGUAUGCUAAGUUAUGGUUGAUUUCAUUGAUUUGGUUAGGAUGCCUGUAGAUAUUUUCUAAUAGAGAGUGGCAUCGCCUUGUUUGUUGCGUUUUUAAUCAACGUAGUGGUUGUCUCGGUGUCCGCCGCAGUUUGCACAGUUGAUAAUAUUUCCAGUGCUAACCAGAAACGUUGCAACGAUCUUAAUCUCAACUCAGCUUCUUUCCUUCUCUGGGUCUGAAACUACUUAUUAAACAUACUAAAACUUUUCACUAGCAAAGCAAAAUUGAAGGUAAGAAACUGUGUUUUGGCCAAUAUUGUAGAAUAUGUUGGGGAAAUCUAGCAAAGCCCUUUAUGUCGUUGCCCUUUUAGCAUCAGGGCAAAGCUCUACCAUUACAGGGACUUCUGCAAGACAAUUCAUCAUGCAGGUUUUGCAAAUUAAACCCUUUUUAAACAUUGUGCUAAUUAAUCAUUAAUCUAAUGACAAAUAAUUUACUUUAUCAUAUGAUGUUUGUUUCUUUUCAGGGUUUCUUGAAUCUUCAUAUGAAGAAAUGGGUGAGGAAUAUAAUGACUAGGUGCAUUGCCAUUACACCUAGUCUCAUUGUGUCUAUCAUUGGUGGAUCUCAAGGGGUCGGUCGACUAAUCAUCAUUGCAUCAGUUAGAAUAUAUGUAAGAUCGAUUUUUUUUUGCAAAACAUAUCGCUAACCCCAGAAUAACAAAGGUAUUAUAAAUAACGGAUUCGAAUCCAAACUUGUUAAAUUCAUGGUAAACCUGUUUUUGAGCUAGGUCACCUGCUUAGGUCCGAAGGCCUGCCUGAAAAAUAGGAGGGUUUGGACAAAAUACGAGGCCUGAAAAAUAGACUUGGUUAAAAUUUAAGGCCCACAAAAUCCAUUACUAAAUUUACAAGUAGUUUUAGCUUAAUAUAUAUAUAUUGAUAAAAUAAUUCGUUGAUGAACUCAAAAAUUAAAAGUGCUCAUGCGUCGGGCCUAUGCAAGGCAUUUAGACUAUUUUUUGAGUUUGGUCCGAAAAAUGGAUUUUUUUUUUGCCUAAAUCCAACCUGAUUUAAGAAAAGUAAACUCGGACCCGAUCAGCUAGUCCAUAUUUGAUUUCUUAGAUUAAUUGUUAUUUAAAAUUAAGAUAUUUGAAAAAUAUAAUACACCAAAUGCACUAAAAAAUGCUAAAAUAAAAAUUUUCUAACACAUUAAAAAGUAUUUAUAUUAAAAAACAUUAUCAUAAAUAUAAUGAAUGUUUUAUUAUAUUAAAAACACAAAUAAAUAUAAUAAAUUUUAUAUUUUGGGUUGAAUUAUUUAGGUAAGUUUCUUUUAGGCC
Molecule: long non-coding RNA, 3884 nt
Organism: Gossypium raimondii (Peruvian cotton)
Lineage: Eukaryota; Viridiplantae; Streptophyta; Magnoliopsida; Malvales; Malvaceae
Exons: 8
Source: RefSeq, a predicted model, not a curated record